AGCUUCUAUAGGUUCUGAGAGAAAAGUCUAAAUUUUCUGGAUCCAAACAAUAUAUUACUACAGGUUUGGAUAGCAAGUCUUGAUUCACAGAAGAGGUUUCCAGCUGAAAUGUGCAGUCCUAAGGAGAAACUAGUCCUAAGGCACUGGAAGGUUGCUAUGAGGUCUCCACCAAACCUUCUCUUCUCCAGGCUGAGCCCCAACUGUCUCAGCCCAUCUUCUCUGCAAAGCUGCUCUAAUCCUCUUAUCAACUUCAUUGCCUCUCCUGGACUUGCUCCAACUCUUCCAUGCCCUUCUUACGCUGGGGACACCAGAACUGUAUGUGUAUUCAUAAAGCUGUUAUUCAGCCUUACAACAGCUUGUCAUAUAUUUCUGGCCACUCUACUGCUGCAUGGAU
Pseudopodoces humilis (Tibetan ground-tit) is the source of this 394-nucleotide non-coding RNA. The record is from RefSeq and is a predicted model, not a curated record. Lineage: Eukaryota; Metazoa; Chordata; Aves; Passeriformes; Paridae.